RNAcentral lists this ribosomal RNA (274 nucleotides) under uncultured bacterium. Its description in RNAcentral is "partial 16S ribosomal RNA". It matches the Rfam family "Bacterial small subunit ribosomal RNA", at positions 523 to 796 of the family's 1533-position model. The record is from RNAcentral.
ACACGAACCGUCCAAACGUUAUUCGGAAUUACUGGGCUUAAAGGGUGCGUAGGCGGUGCGGUAAGUUGGGUGUGAAAUCCCUCGGCUCAACCGGGGAACUGCGCUCAAUACUGCCGUACUUGAGGGAGACAGAGGUAAGCGGAACUGAUGGUGGAGCGGUGAAAUGCGUUGAUAUCAUCAGGAACACCAGUAGCGAAAGCGGCUUACUGGGUCUCUUCUGACGCUGAGGCACGAAAGCUAGGGUAGCGAACGGGAUUAGAAACCCCUGUAGUCC